Molecule: ribosomal RNA, 429 nt
Filed under: Fusobacteriota bacterium
Lineage: Bacteria; Fusobacteriati; Fusobacteriota
Description: Fusobacteria bacterium partial 16S ribosomal RNA
Rfam family: Bacterial small subunit ribosomal RNA
Source: RNAcentral
UGGGGAAUAUUGCGCAAUGGGCGAAAGCCUGACGCAGCGACGCCGCGUGAAGGAAGAAGGCCUUCGGGUCGUUAACCUUUGUCUGCAGGGAAGAAACCGCACCGUGCUAAUCAGCAGUGCCUUGACGGUACCUUCAAAGGAAGCAACGGCUAACUCCGCGCCAGCAGCCGCCGAAAUACGGAGUGUGCAAUCGUUAUUCGGAAUUAUUGGUCGUAAAGCGUACGUAUGCUGCUUAGUAAGCUAGGGGUGAAGUCCGACGGCUCAACCGUGGAACUGCCUUUGAUACUGCUUGGCUUGAAUCCGGGGGAGGGUGGCGGAAUUCCAGGUGUAGGAGUGAAAUCCUUAGAUAUCUGAAAGAACAUCAGUGGCGAAGGCGGCCACCUGGACCGGUAUUGAUGCAGAAGUGCGAAAGCGUGGGGACCAAGCAGG